This 387-nucleotide ribosomal RNA is filed under the name Salmonella enterica subsp. enterica serovar Legon. RNAcentral's name for it is "bacterial LSU rRNA". It matches the Rfam family "Bacterial large subunit ribosomal RNA", at positions 155 to 580 of the family's 2925-position model. Lineage: Bacteria; Pseudomonadati; Pseudomonadota; Gammaproteobacteria; Enterobacterales; Enterobacteriaceae. The record is from RNAcentral.
UAACUGAAUCCAUAGGUUAAUGAGGCGAACCGGGGGAACUGAAACAUCUAAGUACCCCGAGGAAAAGAAAUCAACCGAGAUUCCCCCAGUAGCGGCGAGCGAACGGGGAGGAGCCCAGAGCCUGAAUCAGCAUGUGUGUUAGUGGAAGCGUCUGGAAAGGCGCGCGAUACAGGGUGACAGCCCCGUACACAAAAGCGCAUGUGCUGUGAGCUCGAUGAGUAGGGCGGGACACGUGGUAUCCUGUCUGAAUAUGGGGGGACCAUCCUCCAAGGCUAAAUACUCCUGACUGACCGAUAGUGAACCAGUACCGUGAGGGAAAGGCGAAAAGAACCCCGGCGAGGGGAGUGAAAAAGAACCUGAAACCGUGUACGUACAAGCAGUGGGAGC